AAAAGCGUAACAAGGUUUCCGUAGGUGAACCUGCGGAAGGAUCAUUACAGUAUUCUUUUUGCCAGCGCUUAAUUGCGCGGCGAAAAAACCUUACACACAGUGUUUUUUGUUAUUACAAGAACUUUUGCUUUGGUCUGGACUAGAAAUAGUUUGGGCCAGAGGUUUACUGAACUAAACUUCAAUAUUUAUAUUGAAUUGUUAUUUAUUUAAUUGUCAAUUUGUUGAUUAAAUUCAAAAAAUCUUCAAAACUUUCAACAACGGAUCUCUUGGUUCUCGCAUCGAUGAAGAACGCAGCGAAAUGCGAUAAGUAAUAUGAAUUGCAGAUUUUCGUGAAUCAUCGAAUCUUUGAACGCACAUUGCGCCCUCUGGUAUUCCAGAGGGCAUGCCUGUUUGAGCGUCAUUUCUCUCUCAAACCUUCGGGUUUGGUAUUGAGUGAUACUCUUAGUCGAACUAGGCGUUUGCUUGAAAUGUAUUGGCAUGAGUGGUACUGGAUAGUGCUAUAUGACUUUCAAUGUAUUAGGUUUAUCCAACUCGUUGAAUAGUUUAAUGGUAUAUUUCUCGGUAUUCUAGGCUCGGCCUUACAAUAUAACAAACAAGUUUGACCUCAAAUCAGGUAGGAUUACCCGCUGAACUUAAGCAUAUCAAA
This 646-nucleotide ribosomal RNA is filed under the name Debaryomyces hansenii. RNAcentral's name for it is "eukaryotic LSU rRNA". The stretch from base 247 to 400 matches the Rfam family "5.8S ribosomal RNA". Lineage: Eukaryota; Fungi; Ascomycota; Pichiomycetes; Serinales; Debaryomycetaceae. The record is from RNAcentral.